UUCCGGUUGAUCCUGCCGGACCCCACUGCUAUCGGGAUGGGACUAAGACAUGCUAGUCGAGCGUCUCCAAGCUAUGGAAGAGACGCGGCACACAGCUCAGUAACACGUGGCUAACCUGCCCUUGGGACAAGGACAACUCCGGGAAACUGGGGCUAAUCCCUGAUAGGUGAGAACUCCUGGAAUGGAUUCUCGCUGAAAGGACGUUUAGACCAUGCUUCUAGGCGUCGCCCAAGGAGGGGGCCGCGACCGAUCAGGUUGUUGGUGAGGUAACGGCUCACCAAGCCUUUAACCGGUACGGGCCGUGAGAGCGGAAGCCCGGAGAUGGGCACUGAGACAAGGGCCCAGGCCCUACGGGGCGCAGCAGUCGCGAAAACUCCGCAAUACACGAAAGUGUGACGGGGCUAUCCCGAGUGCCAUCCGCUGAGGAUGGCUUUUCCCCAGUGUAUAAAGCUGGGGGAAUAAGGAGAGGGCAAGCCUGGUGUCAGCCGCCGCGGUAAUACCAGCCCUCCGAGUGGUGGGGAUGUUUAUUGGGCCUAAAGCAUUCGUAGCCUGCUUGGCAAGUCCUCCGUUAAAUCCAACGAUUCAAUCGUUGGGCUGCGGGGGAUACUGUCCGGCUAGGGGGCGGGAGAGGCCGACGGUAUCCCCGGGGUAGGGGUGAAAUCCUAUAAUCCCGGGAGGACCACCAGUGGCGAACGCUGUCGGCUAGAACGUGCUCGACGGUGAGGGAUGAAAGCUGGGGGAGCGAACCGGAUUAGAUACCCGGGUAGUCCCAGCUGUAAACGAUGCAGGCUAGGUGUGGGCGCGGCUACGUGACGCUCAGUGUCGCAGGAAAGCCCGUUAAUCCUGGCCCCUGGGAAGUACGUCACAAGCUGAACCUUAAAGUACUGGCGGGGGAAUACCAGCAGGUGUGAUGUUAGCGGUU
This 922-nucleotide ribosomal RNA is filed under the name uncultured archaeon. Its description in RNAcentral is "bacterial SSU rRNA". It matches the Rfam family "Archaeal small subunit ribosomal RNA", at positions 1 to 902 of the family's 1478-position model. The record is from RNAcentral.